RNAcentral lists this transfer RNA (66 nucleotides) under Neoverruca intermedia. Its description in RNAcentral is "tRNA-Thr". The record is from RNAcentral. Lineage: Eukaryota; Metazoa; Arthropoda; Thecostraca; Neoverrucidae.
GCCCACGUAAUUUAUAAAAAACAAAAUAUUGGUCUUGUAAACCAACAAAAGAUGCUCUCUUGGGUU